Carassius gibelio (silver crucian carp) is the source of this 1895-nucleotide long non-coding RNA. RefSeq lists it as uncharacterized. The transcript has 3 exons. NCBI's taxonomy places the organism in Eukaryota, Metazoa, Chordata, Actinopteri, Cypriniformes, Cyprinidae. The record is from RefSeq and is a predicted model, not a curated record.
ACCAAAUAUACCAUAGUAAGCUGAACUUCCGGUCCGCCAUUUUGAUUUAUGUUGAAAACCUACUUUGUCGAACUCCUCAUCAACCGUAGGUCCGAUUUUCACCAAAUUCGAAUCAAAUGAUCUUCAGACUAUGCUGACUCAAAGUUAUGGCUUUUGAGUCGAUAGACAAAACCGUUUUCGCAUACCACAUCGACGAAUUUGAGGCACAAUGAGAAAAUGACACUUGAGGCUGUAUCCCUGGAAUGCUUUGGCAUAUUGACACCAAACUUUGUGUGUGUCAUUGAAAAGUCACACAGAGUACACCAAAUUGAUUUUAUAACAGUGCCACCUAUUGGUCAAGCUUGAUAAGCCAAGUAAUCAUGCUACUAGAGGUGGUAUUAUAAUUUUUUUUUGCCAUUUCAAUUACAAUAAUUCCAAAAUUGCUGUUAUUGCUCAUUAAUGAAUUUGGUGUGAUGCUUCAUGCGAUGCUUAGCUCCUACAUUUGCCGUUGGAGUGCUUGGCCCCGUAAUUGCUGCUUGCAGCUAUAUUUAGGGGCCAAGCACCGAAGGUGCGUAGGCACCUAUUGUUUUCGUUGGCGUUAUUAGGGGCCAAGCACCGAAGGUGCGAGGCACCUAUUGUUUUUGUUCCGGUUCUUAUUAUUAUUAUUAUUAUUAUUAUUAUUCUUCCGACUGGGAGUCUAUGGCAGCCCAUAGAACCGAAUGCGGGAAAGUUGUUUUGGUUUGACAUUCUGAUAGAGGACAGUGCCAACAUUUAGUACACCAAUUUUGGUGUGUCUAAGAAAUUCCCUCUAGCGCCACCAACUGUCCGAAAUUUCACUUUAAUUUUGUUAAUAACUUUUUAACCGUAAGUCCAAUCAACAAAAUUCUUGUUUCCUCUGAUUUCUGAGCUCAUGCCAAUUCGAUUGCACCCUAUGCCGUCAUUUUCCGUCAUAGAAAUAUGGCCGCCAUUUUGAAUUCUUUGAAAAACCUACUUUUUCGAACUCGUCCUAGACGGUUUGUCCGAUUCACACGAAAAUUGAACCAGAUCAUCUUCAGGCAGUGCUGACCAAAAGUUAUGCAAAUCAAAUUGAUUCGUCAAACCGUUUUCGAAAAACGCUCAAACAAAUUUUACGAAACGCUUAGAAAAACAGUCGUAAGGCUGUAUCUCUGCAACGAUUUAUCGUAUUCAGACCAAACCUGGUACAUGUCAUAACAAGCAUGACCUGAGGCUACUUGCUGCGUUUCGGCGCAGCGCCACCUACUGGUCCGGAGAUAUGAAAAAUUGCUAUUUUUGCUUAUAACUUCUAAACAGUUUGUCCAAAAAUCAUAACAUUGGUCUUGUUAGAUUCAGGGCAACAUGCCGAGUCGACUGAUAUCAAAUUUUACAAUUUCGGCCAUUUUGUCUGUCGGCCAUUUUGAAUUUUGUGCUAAAAUGCUGUAUUUUCAGAACGCAUUAACGGAUUGUUACGAAACAUGGUAUGGGUCAUCAGCACAAUGUCCUGAAGGAGUGUGAGAAGUUUCGAAACAGCGCCACCUAGUGGUGAUCAUCCUUUUUUAAAUGCUUAUAACCUUGUGUGUGGUCGACUUAUUUUCUCGAGACUCACCAAAUUAGACUCCUGAAACCUUACAGAGUCCUACGAUACCAAACAUGCUAGGUUUCGCCUUACGGUUUGUGUAGCGUUGUGAUUUAGCGCUUAAAAAACAUCUGGCUAUAUCUUCGAAACCACUUGUCUGAUCGAGACGAAACCACCGUCAGAAGUUCGGAAACAUAGGUCGAUAGCUAUAUGCCAAUGCCCAAAUGCCAAAAUAUUGAUGGUAAGGUGUAGUAAUAUUCAAUCAAAGUCAAGAGUCAGUCAUUUUUUACGUGCUUUUUCAUAUAAAUGUCUAUAACUCUGAAGUGAAUUGAGAUAUUUUCAC